UGGCGGACGGGUGAGUAAUGUCUGGGAAACUGCCUGGUGGAGGGGGGAUAACUACUGGAAACGGUAGCUAAUACCGCAUAACGUCGCAAGACCAAAGAGGGGGACCUUCGGGCCUCUUGCCAUCAGAUGUGCCCAGAUGGGAUUAGCUAGUAGGUGGGGUAACGGCUCACCUAGGCGACAAUCCCUAGCUGGUCUGAGAGGAUGACCAGCCACACUGGAACUGAGACACGGUCCAGACUCCUACGGGAGGCAGCAUG
RNAcentral lists this ribosomal RNA (257 nucleotides) under uncultured bacterium. Its description in RNAcentral is "partial 16S ribosomal RNA". It matches the Rfam family "Bacterial small subunit ribosomal RNA", at positions 96 to 353 of the family's 1533-position model. The record is from RNAcentral.